This 497-nucleotide ribosomal RNA is filed under the name uncultured bacterium. RNAcentral's name for it is "partial 16S ribosomal RNA". It matches the Rfam family "Bacterial small subunit ribosomal RNA", at positions 28 to 507 of the family's 1533-position model. The record is from RNAcentral.
GAUGAACGCUGGCGGCGUGCCUAAUACAUGCAAGUCGAGCGAACGGACGAGAAGCUUGCUUCUCUGAGGUUAGCGGCGGACGGGUGAGUAAGACGUGGAUAACCUACCUAUAAGACUGGGAUAACUUCGGGAAACCGGAGCUAAUACCGGAGAAUAUUUUGAACGGCAUGGUUCAAAAGUGAAAGACGGUCUUGCUGUCACUUAUAGAUGGAUACGCGUUGCAUUAGCUAGUUGGUAAGGUAACGGCCUACCAAGGCAACGAUGCAUAGCCGACCUGAGAGGGUGAUCAGCCACACUGGAACUGAGACACGGUCCAGACUCCUACGGGAGGCAGCAGUAGGGAAUCUUCCGCAAUGGGCGCAAGCCUGACGGAGCAACGCCGCGUGAGUGAUGAAGGUCUUCGGAUCGUAAAACUCUGUUAUUAGGGAAGAACAUCUGUGUAAGUAUCUCUGCACAUCUUGACGGUACCUAAUCAGAAAGCAACGGCUAACUACGUG